This 465-nucleotide ribosomal RNA is filed under the name uncultured bacterium. RNAcentral's name for it is "partial 16S ribosomal RNA". It matches the Rfam family "Bacterial small subunit ribosomal RNA", at positions 28 to 507 of the family's 1533-position model. The record is from RNAcentral.
GACGAACGCUGGCGGCGUGCUUAACACAUGCAAGUCGAACGGAAAGGCCCUGCUUGCAGGGUACUCGAGUGGCGAACGGGUGAGUAACACGUGGGGGAUCUGCCCUGCACUUCGGGAUAAGCCUGGGAAACUGGGUCUAAUACCGGAUAGGAGCCAUUUUUAGUGUGAUGGUUGGAAAGUUUUUUCGGUGUAGGAUGAGCUCGCGGCCUAUCAGCUUGUUGGUGGGGUAAUGGCCUACCAAGGCGGCGACGGGUAGCCGGCCUGAGAGGGUGGACGGCCACAUUGGGACUGAGAUACGGCCCAGACUCCUACGGGAGGCAGCAGUGGGGAAUAUUGCACAAUGGGCGCAAGCCUGAUGCAGCGAUGCCGCGUGGGGGAUGACGGCCUUCGGGUUGUAAACUCCUUUCGCUAGGGACGAAGCUUUUUGUGACGGUACCUAGAUAAGAAGCACCGGCUAACUACGUG